AAAAUAUGAGAUACACUAAUAUAUCUUUUUAAGAAAAUGAAAGUUCUAAGAUUUAAAUUGAUAUUGAGAUCUUUCUAACGCUAUUAAAUAAAAUGGAAUUGGGGUAAAAACAUAUAGGGAUAUGUUUCUGCGUUCUCUAGCGGGACCGUAGAAAAUAUAUCUAACCGACUUAUCGUGAUAUGUGGAACGCAAUAUUACUUACGGAAACAAAUAUGAUAUUUUUCCAUCGUUCUUUCUUAUCGUACAUAACGCAAUCUUUUCACAAUCCCAAACGAAGCCUAAAUGAAACGUAAAACCUACUUUUCUAGGGAAAAAGAAGAAG
This 322-nucleotide long non-coding RNA is filed under the name Ananas comosus (pineapple). Its description in RNAcentral is "long non-coding RNA (ACOM_LNC011189)". Lineage: Eukaryota; Viridiplantae; Streptophyta; Magnoliopsida; Poales; Bromeliaceae. The record is from RNAcentral.